This is a long non-coding RNA of Crotalus tigris (Tiger rattlesnake), 3248 nucleotides long. RefSeq lists it as uncharacterized. The record is from RefSeq and is a predicted model, not a curated record. NCBI's taxonomy places the organism in Eukaryota, Metazoa, Chordata, Lepidosauria, Squamata, Viperidae. The transcript is spliced from 5 exons.
UUAUUAGAACCAAAAAAACCUCCUCAAUGGCCCUAUUUAAUCCUAGGCAUGGCUGUUGAUGGAUUAUAGAUUUUAUAGUUUUCUGUCUGGCGUAAUUUUAGCCUGGCGAUGGUUCUUAGAACCAGAACAAAACCUCAUUGGCCCCUUUAAAUGACCAGUGUGUGGCCAGUGAUUAAUAAUAGAUUUUAUAGUUUUCUGCCUGGCGUAAUUUUAGCCUGGCGAUGGUUCUUAGAACCAGAACAAAACCUCAUUGGCCCUUAUAAAUGACCAGUAUGUGGCCAGUGAUUAAUAAUAAAUUUUAUAGUUUUAUGCCUGGCAUAAUUUUAGCCAUGGCGAUGGUUCUCAGAACCAGAAAGAGAACCUCAAUGGCCCUAUUUAAUGCUAAGUGUGGCCGUUGAUCUAUAAAAGAUGUUAGAGUUUUUGAAUCUCUGAGAUUGAGGGGAGGAACAAUUGCACAACUGCUGCCAAUGUUCCUUGAAAGAGACAACUUGUUGGGCAUGGCAGAAGAAGAAAAAGUAAAAGAAUAAAGAAGAGAGCAUGAAAAUGUCUCCAGCGCAAUCCCUGUGAUGUGGCGUCCUACACUGUGAGUUCGAAGGCAUGAAUCCAAGCUGACCUGUAGACGAAGAAGAAGACACCAACAGUAAGACAGAUGGUUUAAUUCUUAUAAAUGAAAGUAAGCAUGAUGAUGCUUUUUAAUGUGAGGAAUACCAAUAAAGGAGAAUAUUUAUGGCUCAAAGUUGAAAUGAGGCAUCCUUGGUGCUCUGUGAACUUGGUGGCUUUCUCGUAGAUUUUUCAUUACCCAACUAGGGAACAUCAUCAGUGCUAGUAGAAGGGAGUGUGGCUUGCUGUCAGGUUAUGUUUGAGUGGCUUCUUUCAGUAUUGUUGAAAAUAGUCUUAGUGGUUCUUAGUUGCGCUAUUUGUUGUUAGGUUCUUUGACCGUUCCUUGAUUGCGGUAUUGUUUUCAUGCCCUGGAGAUGGUUUUUAGAACCCGAAAUAAAACCUCAACAGCCAUUUUUAAUAUUAGCUGUGGCCGUUGAUCUAGAAAAGAGAUUAGGGUUUUCUAGCUUUGCAGACUGAGUGGAGGAACGAUCGCACACCUGCUGCCAAAAGAUCCUCGAAAGAGACAAGACCUGCUGGGCACGACUGAGGAAGAAACAGAAGCAGAAGAAGAAAGAAGAGAGCAUGAAAAUGUCUCCAGCUGAAGCCCUUCGGCUGUGAUGUGGCCUCCUAUGUUGUGAGGCAUGUACUCUACACCACCUUAGAAGACAGAAGACUCAGCUGUCAGCCUGCGGCAUUGAUGGAAGAAGGAGGAAUGGAACGCAAGAAUGAAUAUGAUCUCCAUCAAGAAUGCCCCUUCACCACGUCAAUCACAACUCACCUUUAGAUGACAGAUUAGAUACCAUUCUUGCCUGCUGUAAAUUUAGCCAUGGCGAUGGUUAUUAGAACCAAAAAAACCUCCUCAAUGGCCCUAUUUAAUUCUGGGCAUGGCUGUGGAUUAUAGAUUUUAUAGUUUUCUGCCUGGUGUAAUUUAGCCAUGGCGAUGGUUCUUAGAACCAGAAAAAAAACCUCAUUGGCCCCUUUAAAUGUCCAGUGUGUGGCCGGUGAUUAAUAAUAGAUUUUAUAGUUUUCUGCCUGGUGUAAUUUUAGUCCUGGCGAUGGUUCUUACAACCAGAAAAAAAACCUCAGCAGCCCCUUUAAAUGACCAAUAUGGGGCUUGGGAUUAAUAAUAGAUUUUAUAGUUUUCUGCCUGGCAUAAUUCUAGCCAUGGCGAUGGUUCUUAGAACUAGAAAUAAAACCUCAUUGGCCCCUUUAAAUGACCAAUAUGGGGCUGGGGAUUAAUAAUAGAUUUUAUAGUUUUCUGCCUGGUGUAAUUUUAGCCAUGGCGAUGGUUCUUAGAACCAGAAAGGAAAUCCCUCAAUGGCCCUUUUUAAUGCUAGGUGUGGCCAUUGAUCUAUGAAAGAUUUUUGAAUCUCUGAGAUUGAGGGGAGGAACAAUUGCACGCCUGCUGCCAAUGUUCCUCGAAAGGGACGUGGGCAGAGGAAGAAGGAAAAGAAGGAAGAAAGAAGAGCAUGAAAAUGUCUCCAUCUCAAGCCCUUCGGCUGUGAUGUGGCAUCCUACGUUGUGAGGCAUGUAUUCUACACCACCUUAGAAGACAGAAGACUCAGCUUUCAGCCUGCGGCAUUGAUGGAAGAAGGAGGAAUGGAACGCAAGAAUGAAUAUGAUCUCCAUCAAGAAUGCCCCUUCACCAAGUCAAUCACAACUCACCUUUAGAUGAUAGAUUUUUUAGAGCAUUCUUGCCUGCUGUAAAUUUAGCCAUGGCAAUGGUUAUUAGAACCAAAAAAACCCUCCUCAAUGGCCCUAUUUAAUCCUAGGCAUGGAUGGUGAUGAAUUAUAGAUUUUAUAGUUUUCUGCCUGGCAUAAUUUUAGCCCUGGCAAUGGUUCUUAGAACCAGAAAUGAAACCUCACUGCCCCUUUUAAAUGAGCAGUGUGUGGCUAGUGAUUAAUAAUAGAUUCUAUAGUUUUCUGCCUGGCAUAAAUUUAGCCAUGGCGAUGGUUCUUAGAACUAGAAAGGAAAUCCCUCAAUGGCCCUUUUUAAUGCUAGGUGUGGCCAUUGAUGUAUGAAAGAUUUUUGAAUCUCUGAGAUUGAGGGGAGGAACAUUUGCACGCCUGUUGCCAAUGUUCCUCGAAAGAGACAAGACUUGCUGGGCAUGGCAGAGGAAGAAGGAAAAGCGAAAGAAGAAGAAAAGAAGAGAGCAAGAAAAUGUCUCCAGCCUAACCGUUUUAGCCUUCGGCUGUGAUGUGACCUACACUAUGAGCGUGUACGCUACAUCACCUUAGAAGACAGAACACUCAGCUGUCAGCCUGCGGCGUUGAUGGAAGAAGAAGGAAUGGAACACAAGAAUGAAUAUGAUCUCCAUCAAGAAUGAAUAUGAUCUCCAUCAAGAAUGUUCCUUCACCAAGUCAAUCACAACUCACUUUUAAAUGAUAGAUUUUAUACUAUUCCGUAGUUCUUACCACUUGGGAGGGGCCACAGAAGCAUUCCACAUGCCAACCCAUCGUGUAAAUAAUAGUGAUGACUUAUUUGUAGAGGUCUUUCAGUCCCUGAGCUUCCUCUAUGUGACACUCACACUGAAUAGGUGUGUCUCUCUGCAGGUCUCCUUAAGACAAUGGAGGGAGGGGCAUCUCAAGGGCAUCUUCACAAAGACAGCUUGACUCAUAACUCAAACAAAAGAGGAGUAGCAAGGCCG